GGUCAGGUCAUCAUGGCUCUUACGCCCAGGGCUACACACGUGCUACAAUGGCGUGUACAAAAGGAUGCUACUUGGUAACAAGCGGCCAAUCUUCAAAGCACGUCUCAGUUCGGAUUGAGGUCUGCAACUCGACCUCAUGAAGCUGGAAUCGCUAGUAAUCGCGUAUCAGCAAUGACGCGGUGAAUACGUUCUCGGACCUU
This 200-nucleotide ribosomal RNA is filed under the name uncultured organism. RNAcentral describes it as "partial small subunit ribosomal RNA". It matches the Rfam family "Bacterial small subunit ribosomal RNA", at positions 1183 to 1382 of the family's 1533-position model. The record is from RNAcentral.